This is a long non-coding RNA of Vidua chalybeata, 2146 nucleotides long. RefSeq lists it as uncharacterized. The record is from RefSeq and is a predicted model, not a curated record. NCBI's taxonomy places the organism in Eukaryota, Metazoa, Chordata, Aves, Passeriformes, Viduidae. The transcript is spliced from 2 exons.
CUAUAAAUAAAACACGUGCUGCCAGAGUAACUGUUCUUCUUUCUCUGGCAAAUGAGUCAUUUCUUAUUUUACUUUUAAAAUCUGUAUUGUUAAGGCACAUGUGUGUAUUUGGGCUCUCAGCACAGACAGCUUUUACACUAGGUUCGUGUUGCUGUUCCUCCAUGUGGUGUUUGCACUCAGAGAUGGAUUUCACACACACCACAGAGAAAUGUGUACUGGGCUGCUGCUGAGCUGACAGGCAAACCUGGUGCUGCUCAGAAGCUGGUAAGCAGAGGAGGGUUGGGAAAUGGUUGGUGUGUUAUUUCAGUGACUCCAGAUCCUCUGUGCUCUGGUUCACAAUUGUGAUAAACUGUGGUAACUUGUUUGUUCAUCAAAAGAAUUGGAAUAUUAAAGGAGGAAAUAUAAAAAUUAAAGUAUGAUUAAUCACCAUAUAGGGAGCUUUUUGUAGCUUUUUUGCAGACACAGGCUAAGGAUGUCGGGGGAUGGCCGGAGCUGAUUAUGAAAUCAGCGACCACCAGGCAACGGCCACCGGACUAGACAACGUAGGAGUGCUCCGGGUACGCCCAUCACUGUCCGGAGCCGAUUGUGAAAUCAGCGAUCACCUGCCUCGACACAACGCAGACACGAUGCAGAGGGAUGCUCAAGCUACGCACACCACUAUCGCAAGAGACACGAAUGAAGAAACCUCCAAGAAACUAUAAAAAGAAACUGAAUAAGGGAGUGGGGUGUGGGGCACUGCAGUGUGGGACACUGCAGGAGGGGCGGUUAGGAGACCCCUACCCACCCAGCGCUGUUUUGCUUGCUACUGCUUGCUGUAAUUAAUAAAAUUCUAAUUGACCUUAAAAAGGCUGAAUCAAAUUAUUCACCUCAGUUUAUCACAAUUUGGUGCCGUGACUCGGAUAAAGGAAACCCGGGAGGGAGGCCUCACUAGGGUGAGGCGCCCCACCGCCUUUUUGCGGUGGACCUAAGGGGGGGCUUCCUCCUUGGGCCUUUACCGAUGAACCUAAAACUCAGUAGCAAGCAAAGGUACCCCCGUUAAUCUUUGUGCAUGAAGAACCGCGGAAGAGUGAACACGCAGGAAGCAAACGGCAGUCAGGACGGCCGAAAAGGGGUGGACUCACGCCAGCCGAGUGAAAGGCCCGGUUGCCACAAAUAACCAGUGGAGAGUGACUAGCCAGCCUGGGAACUUGAAAGUGACUCUUAAGAAAAACUAAUGAACUCUGUGGACAUUAUCCAAAUCAACCAUAAGGGGAAGCAAAGGGAUACAAUUACAAAAGACUAUAUAGUGAUUUGUAAUAAGGAAGGUUGUGGAGAUUGUUACCCUUUUGUGUGCUUUAUAUGUAAAAUUUGCCAAGAACGGUGGUGGGUCCAUUGCCAGAGGGGAAGACCACCAAUUGGGGUUUGUACUGAGUGCUAUAAAACUCAGCGAAAACUAACUGAAACUGUGCUAAGGAUAGGAGAAUUGGAAAAUCGGUGGGUCAGUUUUGGAUCUGAGUGGUGGGAAAUAUUCUUGUUUUCAUACUAACGAGCCCACUCCAUUUGCUGCUCAGAUAAUAAAAGGGUGUUGUCGAAAGGAACUGAAGGGGAUUCCUUGCAAUCCACCUCUGGUCAAAGAUAAGAACUGGGAACAGUACAAGGCUAGGCAGGAGCGGAAAAGGGGACGCUCAGGCGAGUACUGCUGCUGCCGAGAAGAUGGUUUACCUCGCGGCUCGAAGCACCCGAGUCGGCGAGCGAGGCAGAGAGGAAAAGGCCAAGCCCCCUCUAAGUGGAACAAUGCUGAAAUGCUCCAACUAUUGCCAGCCGAGUACUAGGAUCCCUCAAAGGACCAGUCUAAGUGCCUCCGAAACACCAAGGGAGCAGCAAGCCAAAAAGGGGAAAACAGGAUAUUACGUAACAAAAACAAGGCUAGGACUCCACCCUUAUUGGCAAAUUAUUAGUUUUCUGUUGCUCUGUCCUAGUGGUAUUUCUAGUCAGGACAAUGCUGAACACUUUACUUCUAGCCUACGAAGAAGCAAAGCGAUUUGAUGAACAAAAUGGUAAAAGAGAAAAUGGGGGAUUGUGAUAAACUGUGGUAACUUGUUUGUUCAUCAAAAGAAUUGGAAUAUUAAAGGAGGAAAUAUAAAAAUUAAAGUAUGAUUAAUCACCA